AUGGUGAUAUUGUUUGUUGGU
Molecule: non-coding RNA, 21 nt
Filed under: Arabidopsis thaliana (thale cress)
Lineage: Eukaryota; Viridiplantae; Streptophyta; Magnoliopsida; Brassicales; Brassicaceae
Source: RNAcentral